UUAUAUGAAAGAAAACAUUCGCAUUCCAUGUAAAGAAAAAAUAAUGAGAGUCUAUGUAUAAAUAAAUUGCCUGGAGUUCACUCCUACAGUUCAAAAUUGAACGGGAGAAGUGUAUGUAAGAUUUGAAAGAUGAAAACUUACACACUAUU
Molecule: non-coding RNA, 149 nt
Organism: Caenorhabditis elegans
Lineage: Eukaryota; Metazoa; Nematoda; Chromadorea; Rhabditida; Rhabditidae
Source: Ensembl